This 1048-nucleotide long non-coding RNA is filed under the name Monodelphis domestica (gray short-tailed opossum). RNAcentral describes it as "lncRNA (ENSMODG00000043096.1)". Lineage: Eukaryota; Metazoa; Chordata; Mammalia; Didelphimorphia; Didelphidae. The record is from RNAcentral.
AUAUACCACAAAAGAGAGUAUUAAAACAGAGAAAGGUCACAAUAUACUAAAAUAUUGUGUCACUCUUUGUUGUAUGAAAAACCUGGAAAAAAUGAAUACAUGUUAAUUGUGUAAUAAUUGAGUGGAGAUGGGGGCAUAUGGAGGCAAUAGGAUAUUAUUCUGCCAUAAGAAGACAUAAACAUGAGAAAUUCAGCGAUUUAUGGCAAAUCAUAUAAAUGAAAACAAAUCAGAGAAUCAAGAAAACAAUAGAUAACCAUAAUUAGAAAGCAGAGCAACAUGAAAAGGCAUUUGUACUCCAACUAAAUAUAAUGAAUAAUGUAUAAUUAAAAAAAUUUGGACUCCAUCUCCCAUAAUUCUUUUCUUGUCGCAAGAAUCCUUUUCCCCUUUGUUCACAUUUGCAUUUGAUACAUUUGUAUAUAAGUUUUAGCGACUCUUCCCUCUCUUUUCCAUGUGCGAGGCUAGUGCCCUCUCUGUUUCACUAGUCUUUUAUUUUCCUUUUCCUUCAAGAUGUAUUAUUACUAAAUCUUAUAAAUAUAAUAUUUGGAGUAUUAGAUACUAACUUAUAAAAUCUACAAUAACUUUUACCCUGGAGACCAAAUGACAGUGGUGACCAAAUGCUGAAUAUGAGUUUCUCUGUCAGAACUGAUCACUGUAUCAACUGGUCUUGCUUAACUGUAUUUUUUAUAGUUACAAGGGAGAGUUCAAUAGUAGGAUAGGGGAUUAAGAGACCCAUGGUGUCAAAAACAAAGACAACAAACAAACAAACAAAAAGAGCCAACUUUAGAUAAAAUAGAGAAAUAGAUGUAGGUUGUCCUUGGUAUCCUUCCUUUCAGUGACUAACACUCCAACUUUAGGCUAUUCCUUUCUCUAGCAAAAUCUCCCCUCUCCUUACCAUCUAUUAAUAUGCUCUUCUGGCCCCAAAAAGUACUCGGUGCUCCCAGUCCUAUUUGCUCGUUCUCCCUCCCAACCCAUCAAAACUUGCCCUUUCAUUAUCUCAUUUGCUGUUGUAGCUAGAGAAUAAAUGUCAUCCAAAUGUCCUUCUAGUCCA